RNAcentral lists this ribosomal RNA (429 nucleotides) under Gemmatimonadota bacterium. RNAcentral describes it as "Gemmatimonadetes bacterium partial 16S ribosomal RNA". It matches the Rfam family "Bacterial small subunit ribosomal RNA", at positions 355 to 776 of the family's 1533-position model. The record is from RNAcentral. Lineage: Bacteria; Pseudomonadati; Gemmatimonadota.
UAGGGAAUCUUCGGCAAUGGACGAAAGUCUGACCGAGCAACGCCGCGCGAGUGAAGAAGGUUUUCGGAUCGUAAAACUCUGUUGUUAGAGAAGAACAAGGACGUUAGUAACUGAACGUCCCCUGACGGUAUCUAACCAGAAAGCCACGGCUAACUACGUGCCAGCAGCCGCGGUAAUACGUAGGUGGCAAGCGUUUUCCGGAUUUAUUGGGCGUAAAGCGAGCGCAGGCGGUUUCUUAAGUCUGAUGUGAAAGCCCCCGGCACAACCGGGGAGGGUCAUUGGAAACUGGGGGACUUGAGUGCAGAAGAGGAGAGUGGAAUUCCGUGUGUAGCGGUGAAAUGCGUAGAUAUAUGGAGGAACACCAGUGGAGAAGGCGGCUCUCUGGUCUGUAACUGACGCUGAGGCUCGAAAGCGUGGGGAGCAAACAGG